Molecule: ribosomal RNA, 396 nt
Filed under: uncultured bacterium
Lineage: Bacteria
Description: bacterial SSU rRNA
Rfam family: Bacterial small subunit ribosomal RNA
Source: RNAcentral
UAACGCGAAGAACCUUACCAGGUCUUGACAUACUAUGCAAAUCUAAGAGAUUGGACGUUCCCUUCGGGGACAUGGAUACAGGUGGUGCAUGGUUGUCGUCAGCUCGUGUCGUGAGAUGUUGGGUUAAGUCCCGCAACGAGCGCAACCCUUAUUAUCAGUUGCCAGCAUUAAGUUGGGCACUCUGGUGAGACUGCCGGUGACAAACCGGAGGAAGGUGGGGAUGACGUCAAAUCAUCAUGCCCCUUAUGACCUGGGCUACACACGUGCUACAAUGGAUGGUACAACGAGUUGCGAACUCGCGAGAGUAAGCUAAUCUCUUAAAGCCAUUCUCAGUUCGGAUUGUAGGCUGCAACUCGCCUACAUGAAGUCGGAAUCCCUAGUAAUCGCGGAUCAGCA